UACGUAGGGGGCUAGCGUUGUCCGGAAUCAUUGGACGUAAAGCGCGUGUAGGCGGUCCGGUAAGUCCGCUGUGAAAGUCGGGGGCUCAACCCUCGGAUGCCGGUGGAUACUGUCGGGCUUGAGUACGGAAGAGGCGAGUGGAAUUCCUGGUGUAGCGGUGAAAUGCGCAGAUAUCAGGAGGAACACCAAUUGCGAAGGCAGCUCGCUGGGACGUUACUGACGCUGAGACGCGAAAGCGUGGGGAGCAAACAGG
Molecule: ribosomal RNA, 253 nt
Filed under: uncultured bacterium
Lineage: Bacteria
Description: partial 16S ribosomal RNA
Rfam family: Bacterial small subunit ribosomal RNA
Source: RNAcentral